CGGCAUGCCUAACACAUGCAAGUCUAGGGUAGCAAUACCACUGGCGCACGGGUGAGUAACACGUAGGUUAUCUGCCCCAUCACAGACAUAACCCCGGGAAACCGGGGCUAAUAUCUGAUGAGGUCGCGAGAUCAAAGCUUCGGCGGAUGGGGAUGAGCCUGCGGCUGAUUAGCUAGUUGGUGAGGUAAUGGCUCACCAAGGCGACGAUCAGUAGCUGGUCUGAGAGGACGAACAGCCACACUGGAACUGAGACACGGUCCGGAGACUCCUACGGGAGGCAGCAGUGAGGAAUAUUGGUCAAUGGGAGCAAUCCUGAACCAGCAAUGCCGCGUGUGGGAUGACAGGGCUUCGCCUUGUAAACCACUGUCGGACGGGACGAAAGGAGGCCUCGGGCCUCUGGGACGGUACCGUCAAAGGAAGGGUCGGCUAACUACGUG
RNAcentral lists this ribosomal RNA (437 nucleotides) under uncultured bacterium. Its description in RNAcentral is "bacterial SSU rRNA". It matches the Rfam family "Bacterial small subunit ribosomal RNA", at positions 40 to 507 of the family's 1533-position model. The record is from RNAcentral.